Molecule: long non-coding RNA, 1873 nt
Filed under: Pelobates cultripes (western spadefoot toad)
Lineage: Eukaryota; Metazoa; Chordata; Amphibia; Anura; Pelobatidae
Source: RNAcentral
AGACAAUCAGGAAAUUAAGUGGUAUCUUUGCCUUGGCACAUGGUGACUUUGGUCACAGAUAUGAACGGGAACAAAGAAAAUGGUGAUUAAGUAAUCUGUGACAUUUGUGGGCUGAAAUCCAACAAGGUGCAGGACACAAUGCAAUUGCAAGAAAUGAAUUCCCAGUCAUUAAGUAGGUCACGACAAUGGAGCUUAUGUUUCGAUCCAAUAGAAUAAGCAACUGAUUUGCUAGGAAUGGGCUGAUGCCUUCAUUGUGGAGCUAUGGAAAUCUUGUACAGUUUCAGAAAUCAUACUUGCAAACUAGUUGAGUCUGUGUGUGUUUUUCUUCCUGAUCGUUUUUAGUAAACUGUUUUCACGUAGGUUUCUAAAUAACAUAGACUAUCUACCUUUGACAUAGCUACGUUUCAAAUACACAGCAAUGAUCUGUGAUCAGACAUUUUCCAAACAUGCAACCACUCUUUCUUCUUUCUGUAUGUGGAGUUAUGUGGUCUAUAAACAGAGUUAAAGGGGUGUUAAGGCUGUGCCAGUUAUUGAAUUAUAUGUAUCGCUCUGUAACCUGAUAAUUGACCUGAAUGUUCCAACUGCUGGUGAAUAUGUCAACCUUUUCCACAAGACCAAUGACCUAAAGCUGUGUUUAUGGCUGGCAAACAUGGAUCACUCUUUAAAGUACUUAAAGGGAUACAAGGCUAGAUUAGACCCAUUGGGGGAUAUUUAUUCAUAAAAUGUAUUCUAAAGUUUUAAACGUGGGAAAUCAACAUGGAAACCAAUGGAACCAGCAGGCACAUUUCACAGGUCAUUCCUCCACUUUUACAUUCUUUUGAAUGGAUACUUUAAUGAAUCUCCCCCAACAUGUUUUAUGGAUUAUUGUACAUGUACAUUACAGCUGGAGUUUUCCAAUUUUUUUUUAAAAUAAUGAAAACUUAUGAAGAUCUUCCAUGUGUUCCGAGUUUAAAUAAUAACGCUUUGCAGCAUCUGAAGUGAGUUCUCACCAAAUCACAAAGUGACUAAUACUCACAAUACUCAACUGUCUUUUUAUAGCGGGUGAGUUAUCCUAAAAUAAAGAAGAUAUGGACACAUAUCUAUAGUUUAUUUCAGAAACAAAAUUAUGUAAAAAAAUAUUUUUUACAACAUCUUUGAAUUUUAAAAUAAUAAUACAAAUAUAUAAAUGUAUAGUGGGCACUAUAGCCACUCAAACAUAUUAGCUUAAUGAAUCAGUUUGAUCAUCCCCCGGCAGUCUCACUGCUCCAUUAUCUGCCCUUUAAAAGUUAAAUCACUUUGUUUAUGCAGCACUCGUCACACCUCCCUGCAUGUGACUUGCACAGCCUUCCUAAACACUUCCUGUAAAGUGAAAUCUAAUGUUUACACUUCCUUUAUUGCAUAGUUUGUUUAAGUUAGUAUAUACUAUCUCCUGCUCUGUUAAUAACUUGAUAAUCUCAUGUGUGUGAUUAAAGUUCAAUAUAUCGAGCUGGAGAUUCAAUUUUUUUUCUAAAGCAAGUUAAUAUCUGAUUGAAAAUUAAAACAUUUUUUUUUUUUCAUUCAGGCUGUGUCAGUCUCAGGCAGGGGAGGUGUGGCUAGGGCUGCAUAAACAGAAACAAAAGUGAUUGAACUCUUAAAUGCAGAGAAAUGAGCAGUGUGAGACUUUAGAGGUAUGAUCUGUAUACCCAAACUGCAUCAUUAAACUAUAGUUGUUUUGGAGACUAUAGUGUCCCUUUAAUUCUUAACCAGAGGAUAGCGUCUGAUUUUUUUGUAGGUGUUUGCUGCUCAUAAUUAUUUUUGUCAUCUUGUUCUCUAGAAAACCUGGAUUAAAAAUUCAGGAUAUACCAAAGAUAAAGCAUUACAUAGGCCUAUCCGCCCAUGUUUGUGCUGUCUAAGC